GUAUUAUAAUCCUUUUAAUUAAAAAAAAAGAGGAAUGCGAGGAUCUGAGAAGCCAGCAAAGCAGCGCUGUGAUCAGAGCGCAGACGAAUCUGAUUCUGUGGACCGCCUCUCCUCCGCCUCCCUCUUCAGGCUGAGAAGGCGGCGGUCCGCGAGUGCUACUGGGUGGUCAGCAGGUGCUCUCACCCCCCAGGUCCCGGGGCCAAAGGAGGCGGGAGGCUCAGUUGGCCGGGCUUGUGUGAUGCCCUGAGGAGCCCCUUCUCUGGGCCUUGCUCGGCGGCAUCCGUCUUCAGCUCCCCGAGGGGCGUCCUGAGCCAGGUUCCAGCUUCAGAGAUCCAACCCAUCUCAUCACCGCCUGAACCUGCUCUCCGAUGCUUGCAGAGGCUCCUGGUGGCCUAUCGGGGGCCCCAGAGAGCCUUCUCCGCCUGUUUGCAGGAGGUUUCCGCUCUGGGACACCAGCACAGUUCAAUCACAGGAGAGAUGAAGCGGAGUGGGGGGCUGUCCCUAGGGCGAGGGUGAGUCACCGCACACAGACAGACCGGCCUCACCCCCACGUCGGGGGACGCGCUCCGCUCGCUCUCGGCAACGGAUCUCCGGGCAGGCAGCGGCCGGCCACCGUCUUGGGGACCAGGGGAGCUGAUCCCAAGGCCACCCUCAACUAUGUCCUGCUCCCUCCUUGCCCUUCUUCUGGGCACUUUCUUAGGCGUCCGCGCACAGACCAUUAGCCAGUGGCCGGUCGUCGAGGUGCGGCGGGUGGGCAGCCCUCUGUCGCUGCAAUGCACCGUGACAGGGACGUCGAACCCCUAUCUGUACUGGUACCGGCAGGCCCCGGGCGGGCCCCCUCAGCUGCUCUUCUUCUCCGUUGGUGUGAACGACGUACAGACUGAGGCUCCUGAGCACCUCUCGGCGUCCCGGCCCCAGGACGGCCAGUUCACCCUGAGCUCCGAGAAGCUCCAGCCCGGGGACUCCGGUGUCUAUCUCUGCGCCUGGGGCGCACACUGCGCGACCAGGGCUCGCGGCCUUGCAAAAACCCACCUCGGGGCUCGCACUGUCCCCAGGGGCCUGGCUCCCGAGUUCAGGGGGUCUGUGACCGGCUCUGACGCAGCGGUGUGAGGGCCGCUGAAUGGAGCCACCUCAGAGAGAACUUGACCAGGUCCUCAGCGAGCACAGCCAGGCUUCUGCGCUCAUGGUCAGUCUCCAGGGUAGACGUCCAGUCCCUGCAAGCGUCACGAUCCCUCCCGCAGGGCGUCUACACCUAGUCUACACUCCAUUCUCCCCCAAGUCCUGCGGGUCUACACUGGGGAGGGGGAGGAGAGUGGGGAGCACCUGCGGCAGUGCGGGCGGUGGGGAUAAGGACGCAGGCUCCGCGUAACCCAGCUGGAGAGUCUCCUGCUUUGGCUCUCGCUGAGGACAGCAGAAAUCCUGGUCAGCCUUUGGUCCCGGAAAGGGCCGUCCUCCUGAAGCUCCAAGUGAAGUUUUGUUAUUGUCAGAAACACACAUUCAGGAAUUGUGGUGAUGGUUUGGAGCUUCGGGCUUUGGUUUCGCCCUCUGUACUGUCUCUCGCCCCUUCCCUUGUCUGGAAAGAGGGAGCAGAGAGGCAGAUGGUGACAAAGAGAUGGUGGGACCGAGGAUAAAGAAGAGCGCACGCGUGUACAACUGCAAAGGCCGAGGGAGGACAAAGUGCUGGAUGGGACAGGAAAGAGAUGAGUGUGGAUGGCUGGGGAGGGGACGUGGUUGCCUUGGCAACUGAACAUCCUGCUCCUUCCGCUCCCUCCUUCCUCCCUAGUUCUUUUUCUUAAACGGUUUUAUUUUCUAAUGUCCCUCCGCCUCCAGCAGGGGGCGCAAGCGGUCUUAAAAUGCUUUCUGUUCCUUAAUCUGGGACCAUUGAGACGGGUGUUCAUUUCCUUUAAUCUGCUGAGGGAGCUGAGGCACAAAGCGAUCAGGAAAGUCUUCCUCAGGCCCAAAGGCCCUGCUACACUUGGAGGAUCAACUACAUGUUAAACAGCUCUCAGGUCCUGGCCACUGUUCAAUAAGAAUAAAGAUGCUGUCUACUCAUUGUCAUGGUGGAGUCAAGCCCCUUGGUUUUUGAGUUCAAAUUUACUAGUCGUUAUGACCUUGGGCUGGUGAUUGGACCUCUCUGGCUCUCAUUCUCCACGCCUGUAAACCCCCCCUUACUGGAUUAUGUGUCUUAAAUGAGACGACAUUUAUAAAGUCCUACCGCAGGGUCUAAGGAGCCCUGGGGGUGCAGGGCGGCCAACUGAAAGGUCUGUCAUCCCAACCCACCAGCCACUUCACAGCAGAAUGCGGUGGCAGUCUGUGUCCAUAAAGCUUAUGGCCUUGGAAACCCUAUGAGGCAGUUCUACUUUGUCCUUUGUUGUUGUUAUUGUUAAGUGCUGUUGAGUCGGUUCCGACUCAUAGAGACCUUCCAUCCUCACAAUCAUUGCUUUGCUUUAGCUCAUUGUUGCAGCCACUGUGUCAAUCCACCUCUUUGAGGGUCUUCCUCUUUUUCACUGACCCUCUACUUUACCAAGGAUAAUGUCCUUCUCCGGGGACUGAUCCCUCCUGAUAACAUGUCCAAAGUAUGUAAGAUGUAGCCUUGCCAACCUUGCUUCUAAAGGCGUAUUCUGGCUGUACUUGUCCUCCAGGGUGGCUAUGAGUUGCAGUUGUCUCAGCGAUGGCAACAACAACUCUAGGGUCUAACUUUCAAUAGAUGUUAUUUUCUUCCCUUUUAGCUUUCAACAUAUUUUGAUUACAGCUAACUCGAAUGAAAGAAUUAUUUAAAAAAAUUUAAAAUUAUAAGCUGCACAGUAAUAUUAAUAAAUGCUAAAUAUACUUGGAUGGCAAAUUCAUGAAACUUGUGCCCUAUGUGUGUCCCUAGCAGAUAUUGAUAAUCAAUUGGUCUUUUCCAGCCUUAGAAUCCUUCUCAACACAGAAGUGUUCCAGGCAAUCUCUACUAGUCAAUUGGAUUUGGCAGGAGGGCCAAAACAGAGUUUUCUUUCCUGUAACAUACUUUGAAAAGUUCUGGAAAAUGUCACAAAGGAGGUAGAAUGCUAUCUAGGUUUAGCUUUUUAGGAGGCUAGUAUUCAGGUAAUGCACUUGACUGCUAAAAAAAAUUGUUGGAGGGUUAACUCCACCCAGAGGCACCUUGGAAGAAAAGCCUGGCAAUCUACUUCCAAAAAUUCAGUCAUUGAAAACCCUGUAGAGCACAGUUCUACUCUGACACUCAUGGUGUCACCAUGAGUUUUUUUUUUUUUUUUGAUCAGCAAAAUGGCAUUGCUGGCAGGGGAGUCACUUUGAGUAGAAAUGUCAAGGGCUCAGUGAGGGUUGUAAGGUCUGUAAACUGAGGAAAAGCCCAGGCCACUGUACAGGGAGCUGGGCCGACGGGAGCACUGACAGCUACGGAGAAGCUUGAAAACCAUCUAUACUCAUUAGCACAAGUUGGGAUCCCCUGUGUGAUCUGCCCCUCAUCACACAGAAGAACCCUGUUUCCAGAGAGCCUAGGACCUAGAAACCCAAAGUCAUUGCUAAUCCAGGGAUGAAGGUCAUCAGCCGGGGGUGGCAGACCCUGCUUGAAUGUGUCAUCUCUGGUUGAGAAGUCAGGAUCUCGUUUGCUCCUUCCGGCCCUUGAUGGCUGUGCUUUUCUGGGGGACCUGCCAGGCCCCACAUCUCAGCUCUGGUUCUGCAGAUGAAGCAGACCACCAUUCUAACCCCCUCACCCCUUGGGCCCCCACGUGUCCACAUAUGGAAGACCCAGGGCCUAAGGCAGGCGGCCACCAGAACCAACUGCCCUCAUGUCUCCCCCUUGGGACGCAGCCUCCCACGGGAUUCAUGGGGAGAGAACGUGGGGUCCAGACAUGCAGCUUAAGGAGGAAGGGGAAGCCUUGGUUGGGAGGCUGGCGGCACUGAAACCUGGUGGUGGCGUGCUUUUGCCCAGGAGUAGGAGGGUUACAAGUGCUGAGCUGAGCUUGCUGCAGACCUUUGGGCUGACGCUGAGCAAGCUUGGGCUUCUGCAGUCCUCACGCCUCCUGGGGGUCCUGCCUCUCUGGGUGUCUGUUCCCUCCUGCAUUUAUGCUCUCCUCCCCUCAACUAGAUGCAACAGAAAGUGCCCCUGGCCCAGACAGAGCGGCAGCCCAAGCGGCCAGCAGGCGAGCGUGGAGAAGCACAGUCAGGUUGGCGGUGGGUGGGGGAGUGGAGACCCGUUCUGACAUCCUGGCCGCCCUGUUUUCAGCCUGGUGAUGCUCUGGGGCUCCUUCCUGUGACUCAUGAGCUCCUCCCGUUAUGAGUGGAAGGAAAUGAGGGCAAGCGUGCUGGGAGAUAGGGGGCCGGUACCCAAGUGAUGUAGGACCCGAAGGCACCCACCUGGGUUCCAGUGGUUAGGCAGCUGCCCUUCACCCCUCCUUUCCCUGCAGCAGUGCCCUCUGAUCUCAGAGAGCACCUCCAGCACGGGUCAUAUCAGGGGUGGGGUGAGGCUGCAGGUGGGGCCAAGGCACCUACCCUCCCAGGGACCCUCUCCCCUCCCGCUGAGGUUCUGUCUUCACCUCCUGGGUGCUACCCAGGGGCCUGGGGAGAAAGAGCAGCGGUGGAGGCGGCAGGAAGCGGUGGGCGGGUGGGGGGAUGAAGGCCUCCCAAAUG
Non-coding RNA from Loxodonta africana (African savanna elephant), 4629 nucleotides. Lineage: Eukaryota; Metazoa; Chordata; Mammalia; Proboscidea; Elephantidae. The record is from the annotation of a RefSeq genome assembly.